UGGGGAAUUUUGGACAAUGGGCGAAAGCCUGAUCCAGCAAUGCCGCGUGUGUGAAGAAGGCCUUCGGGUUGUAAAGCACUUUUGUCCGGAAAGAAAUCCUUGGCUCUAAUACAGUCGGGGGAUGACGGUACCGGAAGAAUAAGCACCGGCUAACUACGUGCCUGCAGCCGCGGUAAUACGUAGGGUGCAAGCGUUAAUCGGAAUUACUGGGCGUAAAGCGUGCGCAGGCGGUUUGCUAAGACCGAUGUGAAAUCCCCGGGCUCAACCUGGGAACUGCAUUGGUGACUGGCAGGCUAGAGUAUGGCAGAGGGGGGUAGAAUUCCACGUGUAGCAGUGAAAUGCGUAGAGAUGUGGAGGAAUACCGAUGGCGAAGGCAGCCCCCUGGGCCAAUACUGACGCUCAUGCACGAAAGCGUGGGGAGCAAAACAGGAUUAGAUACCCUGGUAGUCCACGCCCUAAAACGAUGUCAACUAGUUGUUGGGGAUUCAUUUCCUUAGUAACGUAGCUAACGCGUGAAGUUGACCGCCUGGGGAGUACGGUCGCAAGAUUAAAAACUCAAAGGAAUUGACGGGGUCAUAGCUGUUUCCU
This 588-nucleotide ribosomal RNA is filed under the name uncultured bacterium. RNAcentral describes it as "partial 16S ribosomal RNA". It matches the Rfam family "Bacterial small subunit ribosomal RNA", at positions 355 to 1375 of the family's 1533-position model. The record is from RNAcentral.